GAUGAACGCUGGCGGCGUGCCUAAUACAUGCAAGUCGAGCGAACGGACGAGAAGCUUGCUUCUCUGAUGUUAGCGGCGGACGGGUGAGUAACACGUGGAUAACCUACCUAUAAGACUGGGAUAACUUCGGGAAACCGGAGCUAAUACCGGAUAAUAUUUUGAACCGCAUGGUUCAAAAGUGAAAGACGGUCUUGCUGUCACUUAUAGAUGGAUCCGCGCUGCAUUAGCUAGUUGGUAAGGUAACGGCUUACCAAGGCAACGAUGCAUAGCCGACCUGAGAGGGUGAUCGGCCACACUGGAACUGAGACACGGUCCAGACUCCUACGGGAGGCAGCAGUAGGGAAUCUUCCGCAAUGGGCGAAAGCCUGACGGAGCAACGCCGCGUGAGUGAUGAAGGUCUUCGGAUCGUAAAACUCUGUUAUUAGGGAAGAACAUAUGUGUAAGUAACUGUGCACAUCUUGACGGUACCUAAUCAGAAAGCCACGGCUAACUACGUGCCAGCAGCCGCGGUAAUACGUAGGUGGCAAGCGUUAUCCGGAAUUAUUGGGCGUAAAGCGCGCGUAGGCGGUUUUUUAAGUCUGAUGUGAAAGCCCACGGCUCAACCGUGGAGGGUCAUUGGAAACUGGAAAACUUGAGUGCAGAAGAGGAAAGUGGAAUUCCAUGUGUAGCGGUGAAAUGCGCAGAGAUAUGGAGGAACACCAGUGGCGAAGGCGACUUUCUGGUCUGUAACUGACGCUGAUGUGCGAAAGCGUGGGGAUCAAACAGGAUUAGAUACCCUGGUAGUCCACGCCGUAAACGAUGAGUGCUAAGUGUUAGGGGGUUUCCGCCCCUUAGUGCUGCAGCUAACGCAUUAAGCACUCCGCCUGGGGAGUACGACCGCAAGGUUGAAACUCAAAGGAAUUGACGGGGACCCGCACAAGCGGUGGAGCAUGUGGUUUAAUUCGAAGCAACGCGAAGAACCUUACCAAAUCUUGACAUCCUUUGACAACUCUAGAGAUAGAGCCUUCCCCUUCGGGGGACAAAGUGACAGGUGGUGCAUGGUUGUCGUCAGCUCGUGUCGUGAGAUGUUGGGUUAAGUCCCGCAACGAGCGCAACCCUUAAGCUUAGUUGCCAUCAUUAAGUUGGGCACUCUAAGUUGACUGCCGGUGACAAACCGGAGGAAGGUGGGGAUGACGUCAAAUCAUCAUGCCCCUUAUGAUUUGGGCUACACACGUGCUACAAUGGACAAUACAAAGGGCAGCGAAACCGCGAGGUCAAGCAAAUCCCAUAAAGUUGUCCUCAGUUCGGAUUGUAGUCUGCAACUCGACUACAUGAAGCUGGAAUCGCUAGUAAUCGUGGAUCAGCAUGCUACGGUGAAUACGUUCCCGGGUCU
Molecule: ribosomal RNA, 1372 nt
Filed under: uncultured bacterium
Lineage: Bacteria
Description: bacterial SSU rRNA
Rfam family: Bacterial small subunit ribosomal RNA
Source: RNAcentral